Molecule: long non-coding RNA, 148 nt
Organism: Nomascus leucogenys (northern white-cheeked gibbon)
Lineage: Eukaryota; Metazoa; Chordata; Mammalia; Primates; Hylobatidae
Exons: 3
Source: RefSeq, a predicted model, not a curated record
UCAGGCUGGUGCUGGUUUACUGGAAAUUCUAGGGGUGGUACAUGUGCUGAAAGACUUUUAGUUUUGAAGGAAAGUAAAGUGGAAGAUAAACCAAGUAUAUAAUUUCUAAGAAAUGGACCUUUUUGGGGCUGGGUGCAGUGGCUCAUGC